Long non-coding RNA from Bubalus bubalis (water buffalo), 248 nucleotides. RefSeq lists it as uncharacterized. The transcript has 2 exons. NCBI's taxonomy places the organism in Eukaryota, Metazoa, Chordata, Mammalia, Artiodactyla, Bovidae. The record is from RefSeq and is a predicted model, not a curated record.
GAGGGCAUUGAUGAUUAUUGGCCAUGACAUUUCCUUUUGAAAUCCCCAUAAGUUUUACUCUACCCUCUUGCCUUUUUCAAGGCAAUUUUCAAGGCAAUUCUCCCUUUGAGAAUCUGGAACUCCUUCAUAAGAGGAAAAGCACCCCUCCAGAUAUGCAUAGGCGCAUAAUUCCACCUUUCUCUGAGUUGAUUUUCUGACUUGGGAGGACUCAGCUGAGAGAAGACGGCACGACUCUUCAGACACAUGCA